GAUGAACGCUGGCGGCGUGCCUAAUACAUGCAAGUCGAGCGAACGGACGAGAAGCUUGCUUCUCUGAUGUUAGCGGCGGACGGGUGAGUAACACGUGGAUAACCUACCUAUAAGACUGGGAUAACUUCGGGAAACCGGAGCUAAUACCGGAUAAUAUUUUGAACCGCAUGGUUCAAAAGUGAAAGACGGUCUUGCUGUCACUUAUAGAUGGAUCCGCGCUGCAUUAGCUAGUUGGUAAGGUAACGGCUUACCAAGGCAACGAUGCAUAGCCGACCUGAGAGGGUGAUCGGCCACACUGGAACUGAGACACGGUCCAGACUCCUACGGGAGGCAGCAGUAGGGAAUCUUCCGCAAUGGGCGAAAGCCUGACGGAGCAACGCCGCGUGAGUGAUGAAGGUCUUCGGAUCGUAAAACUCUGUUAUUAGGGAAGAACAUAUGUGUAGGUAACUAUGCACAUCUUGACGGUACCUAAUCAGAAAGCCACGGCUAACUACGUG
This 497-nucleotide ribosomal RNA is filed under the name uncultured bacterium. RNAcentral describes it as "partial 16S ribosomal RNA". It matches the Rfam family "Bacterial small subunit ribosomal RNA", at positions 28 to 507 of the family's 1533-position model. The record is from RNAcentral.